AGGAUUUUAGUUUUAAAAAAUAAAACAUUUGAUUUGCAAUCAAAAAAUAAAAAAAAUAAUUUAUAUCUUA
RNAcentral lists this transfer RNA (70 nucleotides) under Neucentropus mandjuricus. RNAcentral describes it as "tRNA-Ala". The record is from RNAcentral. Lineage: Eukaryota; Metazoa; Arthropoda; Insecta; Trichoptera; Polycentropodidae.